This 4247-nucleotide long non-coding RNA is filed under the name Homo sapiens (human). RNAcentral's name for it is "PRDM16 divergent transcript". The record is from RNAcentral. Lineage: Eukaryota; Metazoa; Chordata; Mammalia; Primates; Hominidae.
CGGAGGCGCCGCCAGCUCCGCGCUCCGCCACUGCCCAGGCCGGCGGGCGGCACUCGGACCCGCCGCCCUCGGUCCCUCGCGAGGCCACGGAGGCCAACACGCCUCGCACGGGGGGACAGCGCGGGGGCAGCCGUCCAAACACCAGGCGUCCUCGGCUGGUCGUCCCAGGGCGCCCGCACCUCUCCGCCCGCGCUCUCCUGCCGCCGCGCCCCCAAGCCCCCAAACUCCGAGGCGCUGCGGCGGAGGGGCCGGGCUGAGCGCAGGCAGGGUGGCCCGGGCCCAGGAGCCUGACGGCCUGAGUGCGGAUUUCUCAUCUGAGUAUCUGGGAAUCGAGAAUGAAUUGGAAGGAAACCGAGGCGCUGCCCUGGCCAGGUUGCUGCCCCGCACCCUUCCGGAGCACCGAAGUCCUGCCCGGCAACGGGACUUGGAGCUGCCGCAGAGUCAGCCUGAGCCCGAGGCAGGGGUCGCGCCCGCGAUGCGGGGUCUCUGCGCCGCCCCGCGAGGCUCCUGGCCUUGCCCUCCCUGCCCUUUGUUGUGUAAUAAGACCUGUGGCGGCUCCACUGAGACCCACACGUGCAACUCCGCGCCUCCGCGUUAAAGGAGGUGAAACGCAGCAGCCCUGAGAAACCCCGAGACCCCGGUGUCCUAGCAGAGGCGCCCCGGAUGGGGAGGGGCGCGGGGCCGGCGCCACCCCAGAGGAAAAGCCCAGCGGAGCCGGGUUGGGCAGGAGCUGGCGGCGGCGGUGCGCUGGGCCUUCUGCCUUGGAUCCUCCGCGGUCGGCACCGCUUCCCUGCUCAGAUUCGAACCCAGAUUCGGCUCCCAAGGCUCCCACGGCUCCAGGGUGCCCAGUCUUGCAGCCAGCUCGCCGCCCGAGCCCCGGAUGGAGGAAGCGCUCACUGGCCGCUACCUCUGCUGUUUCUGGCACCAGAGAUUGAGACUGUGAACCUGAACUCCCUUGAUCUCCUCCCGUUGGGCCCAGGAGGGAGCCGAAUCCAGGCCCAACCGGGCUCACUGAGAAGAACCUUUAAAAAUCCGCCAACGAAUGCUGUUGCCUGGAUGCGCUGCCUAUGACCUUCAGCCGUGUGUUCACGCGCGCCCGCAGCCGUGGAGUGGCGGUCCCUCCUGCCGCCCGCAACCCCGGGGCCGCCGGUCUGCGCACACCGGGAGCAACUUCGUUACCCACAGCGCCCGCGUCCUGCGGCUCGCGCGGAACUGCGCGCGGGAAGGUGGCAGAGCGACGCUCCAGAACGCUGCUUGCGUAGACGCUGCCGCUGCCUUCAGAUCCCAAUUCGGCCGCGCGCGGGCGGGGCCCUGGCAGCAACGAAAAUGGCGAGCCUCGUAGCCUUCCGGGCCCGGCGGCCACAUUCCGGGAGUCGCCAGGUGGGAGCCCGCCUUCCGUGUCCCCAAACGCCCAGAGCCCGGGACACGGGCCGGCGGCCGGGUCACCAAGCCAGUUCCCGGAAUCGGCUCGCGCCGGAAUCCAGACUCGGCUUGCAAAGCCCGCUCCUGCCGUCUCUCCGCAGCGCGCCCUGCCCCCCACUGCCGGCCCUCUUAGCUUCAAAACCAAAUUUUGCCUUUCAUCCUGAGAGAUUAAUACCCCGCAGGUGAAACCGUGGAGACGGAGCUGCGGUGGGUUUCUUUUCCACGCCUCAGUUUCCUCGUCUGUGAAAUGGGACCAGGCGCGCCUGUGCUUCUCCGGGAGUUUAUUGCAGGGCUGGCUGGAGAGAAUGGCUGGGUGGAAGCUGCCAGGAGGAGGCCCAAGGCCGCCCACCCCGUGGGCCUCGUUUGCUGAGCGGGGGUCAGAGGCGUGCGGGACAGGGCGCGCCCCACGGCGGCUCUGGAGGCGGCCCGGCCCGUCCCUGUCUCCUCCCCUCGCUCCCCCUCCCCCGGCCUUCCCGGAACUCUCCUCGCCCGCUGGGUGGAGGAGGGGCGAGGGCCGACUCCGCCGCCCCUGGGGUCUCCCUCCUCCCACCCCCACCGCAGAGUCUGGCCCGCCCUGGGCUUUCCUCUCAGGUCCCUUUGGGUCUCCAGAAGCCCGGAGGUUUCGCGCAGACUCGAACCUGAGAUGACACCACCCAGCACCCCAAAUCCUGCAGAGUGUGGAGGGGAUCUGGGGAGAAGGCAGGGGCUGCCCGGGCGCUCUGGCUGCUGGGGGUGGGGGACAGGGCCUGCCGGGGAAGCGGGUCGGGGGAGGACUGGAGACCCAGGCUCCCCUAGGUACAACGAACCUCGCGGGAGGGAAUACGCCAUCCCCGUACCCACUUCCGAGGACGUAGGUCUUUUGGCACCGGCGGCAGCCGCGUUCCCACACAUCUGGGCGGGGCCCCGCAGCAUGGCCUGGGGAGCUGAGGCUUCGGGAUCCGGCACAAACUACCAUUCUAGGUGUAGACGGAGGAGGUGGGGUGUGGGAAGCAGGGGGCCAUGGUCUGAGCAGACCUUCUCACCUCUGGGCCUCCCACCUCCUGGGGCAGGACUUACGGGGAAGGACCCGAGGGGAGUGGGGUGUCCAUAGGGACACCCAAGGGUCUAUCCCUGCGAGCUUUGCUUUCUACUAAACCAAUAAUCGCAGUGGUGGUGGCAGUCGAGACACGGCUCAAAGAGCCGGCAAGAAUAGAGCAGAGACCAGGAUCGCCCCAGGCAGGGAAAAAAUGACCAGUUCUGUAGAGUGACCCGAAGGUGAUGGAAUCACUCGGGCGUCCUCCUGGGAAAGAGCUGCCUGCUCCCCCGCCGCCGCCAGUACACCGGCGCCCAUGCCCCGGGGGCUGGAGAGAGCAGCCAGGCACAGGUAACUCAAGAACUCCAGUCCCCUCACGGGUGCCGUGCUGUGGGGCGCCCUCACCCCCACACUUUGGGUCCCUGGGCCUCCUCAUCAAAGCAGGGGCCUGAGUGGCAGGAACACCCCUGUGUGCAGAAUAGUGCCCCCUGCAGCCCCCACAGGUCACCUCUUUGAGGACCUAGGUGGGGCCUGCCCUGGGGACUGGGGUGAAGAGGGCAGGUCCAGCCUUCAGCAGCCCCUCCCCCAUGACUUCAGUGGAAUUACAAGGGGAACACCCAGGGCAGCUCCCGUAGGCUGCACAAGGGAAGAGGGGAGGGCUUCUACUGAGGUGAAACAGUGACCCACCCCUCCCACACCGUCAGCCUCCCUCCCCUCUCCACCCUUCAGUGCUGGGACCCCAGGGCCCAUAGACAGCUGGGGGAGUGGGGAGACAGGAGGAACUCAAGCUCAGCUUCUGCCUCCUGUCUCCUGGGACCCUCGGGCAGCCCCUCCAGCUUCCUGGGAGUCCAAUUUCCCAAGGUAGAACGGUGGCGGCAGAGCCUGGCCCUGUGGUGGGGCAGCUGCACCCCGAUGAGUGGCUUGCAGUUCCUGGAGCCCUGCAGGUUGUUGGAGAGGCAGGGAGCCCUUCUCCCUCCUGCCUGCCCUCUUGCACUUCCUCUCCCAGAACCCAGCACUACUCCCAGAGGCUCUGAGCUGGAGCCCUAGAAGGUAACCACCUCCUGGCUGGACACAGGGCAAGUUGGGGCCAGGCGUGAGGACAGGUGCCCCAGGAGCCACCUGCUCCACUCAUCCACAAAGGCCUUAACUGGCUCAGGGGCCCCUAGCUCCCAGUCAAGCCCUGCCCUCCUGACCUUGUCCUGCCCUGGUGCUGCCAGUCGGGUGGAGAUGUCUAGGGGCCAGCUGGUCUCCUGGCAACUGAAGUCCGCGCUUCCCUUCCGUUCACUCAUUCCUUCCUUUCCUCAUGCAGGAGGCGCUGCAAGGCUCCGUGCUCCUGGAGCUUCGAGUCUAUGGUAUGAGUUAAACAGAAGGGUAUCUCCUCCAUCAGAUCUACAGGAGGGUGUCUGCUCCAUCAGACCUGGAGCUUCCAAGGCAUUUUACCCGAAGCUCCAGCACCUGGCCCAAGGCUGGGCUGUGCUGUGUCCUCAGUGAAAGAAUGGAUGAGUCACAGCUGAAUGACUGAAGAGCUGAACCAAUGGGAAAACUGAUGCUCAGAGGCUUGAGCAACCUAGGCCAGGACCUGUCCUUAGAGGCAGAAGCAGGACUCAGAGGAAGAGCACCCUGACCACAAAGCCCCAGGGUCCAGAAAGACUCAGCCACUGGAGUCUGUAUUUCCUGAGUCGCCUCUCACUGCUGGAGCUGUUUAUCAUCGCUCCAACUUUCACUAAAAAGGAAAAACUAUCACUUAAACAAAGCCAUUGAAACCCCAGCAUCAUGUGUGGAUUUUUUAACAUAAAUAAAUCAUACAAACUAA